UACGUAGGUCGCAAGCGUUGUCCGGAUUUACUGGGCGUAAAGAACGCGCAGGCGGCUGGUCAAGUCCGAUGUGAAAUCUCCCGGCUCAACUGGGAAACUGCAUCGGAAACUGAUCGGCUUGAAGAUGGGAGAGGGUAGUGGAAUUCCCGGUGUAGUGGUGAAAUGCGUAGAUAUCGGGAGGAACACCAGUGGCGAAAGCGGCCACCUGGACUGCACCUGACGCUGACACGCGAAAGCUAGGGGAGCGAACGGG
This 253-nucleotide ribosomal RNA is filed under the name uncultured bacterium. RNAcentral describes it as "partial 16S ribosomal RNA". It matches the Rfam family "Bacterial small subunit ribosomal RNA", at positions 524 to 776 of the family's 1533-position model. The record is from RNAcentral.